Molecule: long non-coding RNA, 1995 nt
Organism: Zalophus californianus (California sea lion)
Lineage: Eukaryota; Metazoa; Chordata; Mammalia; Carnivora; Otariidae
Exons: 3
Source: RefSeq, a predicted model, not a curated record
UCAGACAUGCGUUUACUCCCUGUGUCCUCUCUUUGGAAGCUACUAGAGGAAGAUCUCAGACUAAGGUUGUAAACCAACAGAAGAACCCACAUGAGGGGGGCCGCAGAGGGAAGACCCAGGCCAGCGUCUGUGCCCUCCCCGCACCCAGGCCGUGCCAUCAGCCCCGCCAUUCUCUCCACGUGGACGUCAGAAUUAGCCGGUUUUGGGUGAUUUCCUUACUUCCCAGGCGGAGGUCCCAUUCGGACAGUCGGCUGUCCCUCCUUCACGGUGCUCACCUGUGCUGCCAUGGGGACCACGGGGCUGGCCGUGGGCAGUGACCCUGCCCUUGUUCCUGCCUGUGCUGGGGGCCACUCGAAAGCCCCACAGUUCCGGACAUUUGCAGGAUGGGGAGUUUGAUACCCAGGCAAACAAACUUCACUCCACGGCCCCAAAUCCCGAGGAGGAAAAGGGGACUCCAUUCUCCCGAGUCAACACCAUACCUGACUUUGCUAAUCUUUCUGAGGAUCUCGCGUGUUUGCCCGAGGAAUUGGGGGGCAGCAUUUCUGGGCUGUUCUCCCCUGGUCUGGCCUCCAUACACGGGGACACCAGCUUCAUGGCGGUGCUCUGGUGGGAGCCCAGGAAGCCCGCAAGCCCGAGCACGGGGCGAGCGCAGGCCUGGGCACUGGCUCUGGGUUCCAAAGAUAACCAGCCUCUUGGCCACGUCACUCCCUGUUCUAGAAACGAUUCAGGCAACUUAGAUCUUUCUGGAAAAUGUGAAUGCGUCAGCUCCCGGAGCACGCUGUAAGGUGCUGUCUAUCAUAGUGCGUUUCCGGCUGUGAUGUCGCCAGCACACCUGUGGCGUCCCUGGAGCUUCUGUCCAUGUCAUUCCGUGUUGCAGAAACUGCACGUCUGGGUUUCCUCCUCUCUCCGGGUCCCAGGGAGGAGCCAGGUUGCUGGGCCCAGCGCCCCAACGAGCGACCCUCCUGCUCUGGCUCCAGAUGCCCCCUCGCCAAGGGGCUCCUGCAGGGCCAGCCGCCAACCAGGAAGUUCUGCUGGAGCUCUGGUUGCCUCUCCGCCGCAGACGCUCCCCUUUCCCAGAGAACAGUAUGUGUGCAGCGCGCCGCCUCCCGCCACCACCACGUUAUUAAAGCCAUAAAGCUCUUUCCGGGGUGCAGCUGCCCUGAGCUGACAGCACCCCCGGGAGGGGCCGCGCAGAGGAACGGCUGCGUCUAAACAGUACUAACCAGGGGCUGACACUUCUUGUUAUUUCUCAGUGGUUUGUUCUGGGAGGAGAGACCACGGGGAGUAGUUUCCUAGAAGCGCCUGUGCCCCAACCCCACACCACUCGCCCCGCGCUCUCGGAGAGGAAGGGACGCCGUGCGCCCCGAGCACCAGGUCCCUGCGCAGGACAUCUUCCCAAACCAGGGGCCCCGGGUGGCAGUGGAGCACCCCCUUCCUGCCCUCCCCUGACAAUGCCUUCCAUCUUGACCUCACAUUGUGGAGAAUUCUGUUUUAGGAUCCACUUGGCUUCAGCUGGAGCUGAUUCGCACAGAAAAAAUGAGCGUGCCGUGCACGACCUCUGAUAGGAAUACUGUGCGCAGAGGGCAGCGGCUUUACCCUUCCCCCUAGGGUGACUUUGUCACGGGGCGGGGGCAGGAGACGGGCACAGGCUGGGGGCCCACACUCGGGACCAUGGCCCUUGGCCUUUCUGGGUCCAGGAACCCCUCUUAGAUGUCAGGAGCUUGAUGGGGACGCGGUGUCCGUUUGGGAAAGUGAAGGACACUCUGGACGGUGGUGACAGCUUCACACAGUGUGAGUCACUUAAUGCCCCUGAGCAGCACCCACAAAGUGGCUAAGGGGUGCUAUGUUCUACUUUAUCACAAUGUUUUAAUUGCUUGCUAUGACUUACACAGUUAAGCCAGAAAAAAUAUAAUACGUAAUUUAAUAUAUAUAUAUUAGUUUAUAUGUAAUACGGUUUAGGGGCGCCUGGGUGGCUCAGUUGGUUAAGCGACUGCC